CCCACGGCUCGCGCCGUGGGCUUUACUCUUUCGCCCCUCCGGGGCU
RNAcentral lists this small RNA (46 nucleotides) under Phycisphaerae bacterium RAS1. RNAcentral describes it as "Acido-Lenti-1 RNA". It matches the Rfam family "Acido-Lenti-1 RNA". Lineage: Bacteria; Pseudomonadati; Planctomycetota; Phycisphaerae. The record is from Rfam by way of RNAcentral.